GACAGAGGGGGCAAGCGUUGUUCGGAAUUACUGGGCGUAAAGGGCUCGUAGGUGGCCAACUAAGUCAGACGUGAAAUCCCUCGGCUUAACCGGGGAACUGCGUCUGAUACUGGAUGGCUUGAGUUUGGGAGAGGGAUGCGGAAUUCCAGGUGUAGCGGUGAAAUGCGUAGAUAUCUGGAGGAAUACCGGUGGCGAAGGCGGCAUCCUGGACCGAGAUUGACGCUGAUGAGCGAAAGCUAGGGGGGCAAACGGG
Molecule: ribosomal RNA, 253 nt
Filed under: uncultured bacterium
Lineage: Bacteria
Description: partial 16S ribosomal RNA
Rfam family: Bacterial small subunit ribosomal RNA
Source: RNAcentral